GUCUAGAAUAUUUUCAAAUAGUAAGUUCAAUUUGUGAUUAUACAUCAUUUGUUUUUCAAAAUUUAACAUCUUUAUAUCAAGUACCUGAAGAUUAUCAACUGUAUAUUUAACAUUUUUAUCAUGAGAAAUAAGAAGAAUAUUCCACGACGUAAGAAGAGAAAGUUUUGUGGCAACAGACAACUGUGACUAAGCCUCAGCCAGCCAGACAGCCCGAUCAGCAACAACCUAGGCCUGGCCCAUCAAAAUCUUGUGCAUUCGCAAGGAAAAUAAAAAAAAGUGUUGAAGGUAUGGCAGAUGAAUAUAAUAUAUCAUCUCCAGAACAUUUAAGAGGAUUCUUGUUCAUAGCAAUAUAAAUCCUAACAGCUCUUAUCAAUCAGAAUUUGUGUCCGGAAUGUUCAUUGCAAGGAUUCGCAAUGACGUCAAGCGGGGACUUACCCAACAAUUUGAUGUGCAUGGCUCACAUCAUCUGUUGCAGGGAAGGAAGAUGUUGAUGCAAGGAGAGUGAGACUUGAAAACCUUGUGGAUAACAUAAAAGCUUGAGGUGUUGAUCAUUUUCAAACUGUAAAUGAAAACCUCCAUCCUUACAACGAUGGAGUUUUUCGACUAUGAUGAAGUUCCUUUCUGUGAUAUAUUCGACAAUGUUUUACAGGAUUCUCCCUACCAACGUGAUAUCCCAGUUGAUUUUCAACAUAUUCUUGGCUUACCAAUCACGGCAAAACAUCUGCACAUAUGUACAAAUUUCUCCGAGAUGAACCAAAGUGUUAUUGCCGGGCAAGCAAGAAGGAAGCACAUUAGUAGAAGAUUAUGAAUGGGGACACAGUCAAGAAGGAAUAGAGAAGUACUGUAUCUAGACAUGCAGAUAAAUUCCAUCGUCUUAUACUUUUUAAAUAUGGUAACAUAUUUACUGGGUAUGAAGUUCAUUGAUGAAGUUCAUUAAUGUCAUACCUUAACUUCUUCAGUGUAGUCCAUUUCAUUCAACAAUGAGGCUAUCAACCUAACAGUGCUUAGAACAAGCACGGGUAGUUUAUCGUUGUGCGCUAUUAUACCCAUUUGGUUCUAGUUGCACACAGUGAUAAUGAAUAGGAUAAAAUUAAAUUCAGUUGAUGGGCAGUGCAUCGAAUGCAUAUGUUCACCUCAUCCUCAAAAUCAAACUUUCAAAUUGUAGAGUCCUUCAAUAUUAAUGUAUUAUGCAAAACAUGCCUUUAGCUACACGAUUUACACUAUUAUAUGACAAUUUCAGCUUGUAUUAUUAAUAUAAAAAAAUCCGGUUUUAACGCAGCUCUCUUUAGUCGCUCCCAUCCGAUCGCUUCUCGGCAGUUUAUCGUUGUGCACUACUACACCCAUUUUGGUUCUAGUUGCGCAUAGUGAUAAAUAAUAGGAUACAAUUGAAAUUAUUGACGGGUAGUUUAUCACUGUGCGCUACUAUACCCAUUUUGGUUCUAGUUGCGCACAGUGAUAAUGAAUAGGAUAAAACUCAAUUCAGUUGAUGAAUUAAUAUAAUUAAUAUAAUUUAUUCAGAACUUCACUUUUGAAACACUGGCACUCGUUCAAAAGGAAGGUGCGUCCGAGAAAAUAAAUACAACCAUGAGAUAACAAAUUUAAGCUAAAUAAAUCUCACUGUAUAAAGCAAAACAUUAACUGAAAAAUUCAGAUAGGAAAUAAUAAACACUCACUCAAAAACUUUCUUUUCCUGGUUAAGUAAGGGUGUGGGGAAAUGCAAAAUCACAUAGAUGACACAUGUCACAUAUAUACACAUAUAUCUAUACAUAUAUUUUGUAAUUUUUGUAUAUCCAUUUUUUACAGUUUUCAUUUUAAUAACUUGUACACUAGGUUUUGUUUCUGUAAUUGUUUAUGUGACUACCAUCGUGUUGAAGCUCAGCUAGAUGGAACACAUUACAGUGUUUGGUGUAUGUAUUAUGCAUUAUCUGAGUUUUUCAUGGAAUCUUUCGGUAUUUCUUUUAACGUAUCUUUUUUGUUAAGUUUCUAUCUUUUAUCUAUGAACGCACAAAUUUAUUUUGAGUGUAACCGGUCUAAAGGUGUAGGUUCAAAUAAAUAAAUAAGUAUACUCAGUAUAAAUACUCACAGCAUGUUCAGUUAAUUUCAAGCUUUGACAAAGGCUACAAGGGUAGC
This is a long non-coding RNA of Anneissia japonica, 2130 nucleotides long. RefSeq lists it as uncharacterized. The record is from RefSeq and is a predicted model, not a curated record. The transcript has 3 exons. Lineage: Eukaryota; Metazoa; Echinodermata; Crinoidea; Comatulida; Comatulidae.